UACGGAGGGGGCUAGCGUUGUUCGGAAUUAUUGGGCGUAAAGAGCUCGUAGGCGGUGUGUCGCGUCGGCCGUGAAAACCUGCAGCUUAACUGUGGGCUUGCGGUCGAUACGGGCAUCACUGGAGUUCGGCAGGGGAGACUGGAAUUCCUGGUGUAGCGGUGAAAUGCGCAGAUAUCAGGAGGAACACCGGUGGCGAAGGCGGGUCUCUGGGCCGAUACUGACGCUGAGGAGCGAAAGCGUGGGGAGCGAACAGG
RNAcentral lists this ribosomal RNA (254 nucleotides) under uncultured bacterium. RNAcentral's name for it is "partial 16S ribosomal RNA". It matches the Rfam family "Bacterial small subunit ribosomal RNA", at positions 524 to 776 of the family's 1533-position model. The record is from RNAcentral.